UACGGAGGGGUGCAAGCGUUAAUCGGAAUUACCGGGCGUAAAGCGUGCGUAGGCGGCCUGUUAAGUCAGAUGUGAAAGCCCUGGGCUUAACCUGGGAACGGCAUUUGAAACUGGCAAGCUAGAGUUAGGUAGAGGGGAGUGGAAUUUCAGGUGUAGCGGUGAAAUGCGUAGAUAUCUGUAGGAACACCAGUGGCGAAGGCGACUCCCUGGACCCAAACUGACGCUGAGGUACGAAAGCGCGGGUAGCAAACAGG
Molecule: ribosomal RNA, 254 nt
Filed under: uncultured bacterium
Lineage: Bacteria
Description: partial 16S ribosomal RNA
Rfam family: Bacterial small subunit ribosomal RNA
Source: RNAcentral